This 330-nucleotide ribosomal RNA is filed under the name uncultured eukaryote. RNAcentral describes it as "partial 18S ribosomal RNA". It matches the Rfam family "Eukaryotic small subunit ribosomal RNA", at positions 1470 to 1796 of the family's 1831-position model. The record is from RNAcentral.
CCCUUAGAUGUUCUGGGCUGCACGCGCGCUACACUGAUGCACUCAACGAGUUUAUAACCUUGCCCGGUAGGGUUGGGUAAUCUUUUGAAAGCGCAUCGUGAUGGGGAUAGAUUAUUGUAAUUAUUAAUCUUCAACGAGGAAUUCCUAGUAAGCGCUAGUCAUCAGCUAGUGCUGAUUACGUCCCUGCCCUUUGUACACACCGCCCGUCGCACCUACCGAUUGAAUGGUCCGGUGAAUCUUUAGGACUGUGGCUGAGGCCUUGCCUUGUGCGGGUCUGGCCGUGGGAAUUUAGUUAAACCUUACCAUUUAGAGGAAGGUGAANUCGUANCA